CAGCAGCAAGCUUCUCGAAGAUGUCGUUGAUGAAGCUGUUCAUGAUUCCCAUGGCCUUGCUUGAGAUACCGAUGUCAGGGUGAACCUGCUUCAGAACUUUGAAGAUGUAGAUCUUGUAUGUCUCCACACUCUUCUUAUUUCUCUUCUUCUUCUUGUCUCCGGCGGCGGCACCGGCUUCCUUGGGAAGCUUCUUUCCGGCCUUGGGUUUCUUCUCGGCAGGAGCCUUCUCGGCCACCGUAGACUUCUUCUCUUCGACGGGUUUCUUCUCAGCAGGCUUCUUCUCUCCCUUUGGCGCCAUUACAAGAAUUGAGAAAUUUAGGGUUUCGAAUUGGAAAUUGGAUAUUAAAACUGAAACGAGAUGAUGAAUGCAAAGGUUGCGGUAGUUUAUAUGUAUAAGAAGAUUCUAUAGUUGCUAUUGGCUAAAAUGGUUAUUCGCGGAUUGUUGACGUGGAACACUUUUAAGCCGUUGUACUAGUUUUAAUAGAAUAUGACAAUCAACGGUCACAAUCUUGCUUUAACUCAACGAUGAUGAUGGUGCUGUGUGGGUGACUGGAUUACAUACUUUUAAUUUAUUUUGUUCCAACAAAACUCUCCUAGAUACUUAUUGCUAAAAUAAAAUAUACUCCGUAUUUAAUUAUCAUUUAGAUUAUUAUAAAGAUAUUUUAUGAAAUAUUAUAAAAAGAUUCAUCUACACAUUUAUAAAUUUUUACCACAAGUUAAAUUAAACUUUUAUUUUUAUUUUUAAACUCGUUUUUAAAAUAAAAAAACAGUUUGCAUCAAUCUAAACCCACUUUAAAAAAUCAUGUAAAAUUUUAAGUUGUCUUAGUCCAGUGAAGGAAUGAAGGUCACAAACAUUAUUUCUUUAGGGUACUUACCAUACAAAUAGUUUUAAUAUAAUGAAAUCUAAGAUAAAUCUUCAUUAGAAUGGCACAUAAUCAAAGCUUCAAAAAAUUCCGGAUCGUCAACACCUAUAAGCAGUAUAAGAUUUUAGGUCUCUAAAAAUUAUAUAACUACUAUAAAAGACUAAUGAAUGCCUUACAUUUAAUUACACAUUAUUUUAAUCAUAAAUACCUCACACUUUCAAUUGUCACUCAUUUGACGACAUUUUGUGUUUGCAAGUACCCCCCACCCCACCCCACCCAUCCACCCACACACACACCGGUAUAAAGCAUCAAGAUAGUAAAUCACCUAUCGGAGUUCACAAUUAGAUGUCAAUUCAUCGCCUCGCUCAUGAACUAGAUAGGUCUUUUCGAGAAUAAUUGGUGUCGUCUAUGGAAACUGACUUUCAACGUUUCCACAAUACUCGAUAAUAAGAUUCAUUGCUGACCAAAGGGAGAAAGACUGCAUCAACGUCAGUGACAAUGCCAUACCAUUUUCUAUUCAUUGAAAUCAUCAAAAUUGCUCCAAAAUUACAUAUGAACAUAUAAUAUUUCAGUCAUCUUAAUGAGUGUCAAUUCACUUACCUUCACCGCCAGCGGUUUCAACAUUUCCUUCAUUAGUCGAAGGCAUUAUGUUGUUGAUGAUCUUGUUAUCAAAUGAAGGAAUUCAACAAUCACCCCUAAAUAUAUCGGUAAAAGGUAAUACUUUGCCAUUAUCCACCCCCUCAAUCCUCGACGGUCUCUUGGUUGUCGCUUAGAGAUGGUCAAUGUCUUUGGAGGAACAUAAUGAAAGGCUUUAACGGAUUAAAGUGACCAGUCUCAGCAACCAAAGUCCCAUGAAGGACAAUAUAGGGUUUGAUAAGAGUCAAUAACGAAACACUGACUUUCUACAAUAAGGAUCUAGAGGAAUCAUCAUGUCCUCACGGCCCUAGAUCCCACUCCCUAAAACUAAGGAAACGUUUAUCGCUUAGUCCCAAAGACCAUAAUCUUUGUUACAUCCAGCACCAUGGGAAUUUACCACCAUCUUCCUUUUUAUAAGAAAUUGGGGACAAUGAGGACGCUCCUAAAAGUGAUGUUUUCCCCGUAGAAUAAACGAACACCCCUUAUCUUUUGACUUUGUUGUAUUUUGUUGCUUUUUCAUCUAUAUUUUUAUUUUGUUGCAUAAUUACUUGUUUGUUUUUCCAAAAUGUUUUCAAACUCUGUUUUUCCAAAUGAUUUUGUUUUCAACCAAUGUUUUACAAACAUCCACAGUCCCCCUUGUAAGACCCCAAUUUUGAUCCUAAGAUCCAUCAUGUUAUUAUCAUCAUAUGCAUUGGCAUUGGGAUCACACUUUGGCAUCCUCAUUACCCCUCAUUCAUUGGGUUUACAUUGGGAGAGAUCAUCAAGCACCAUGUGAUUGUAUCAUAUUUUCUUAUAAUUUACUAACCAAAAUACCAAAAAUAUGUCUUUGUAUAAUCUAAUUCUUUUGUAGGUAGGGCACAUGCUCACCUUUGAUCUAUCAAGCUCACAUCUAGGGUUUAAGACCCUCAUUGCAAUGAGCUCAAUCAAGAUUUGGUUUAAUAUGGAUCUAAGUAUUAUAUAUGAAUCCCCAUGAUCUUCACAUUUUAUUUUGAUCAAGAAAUCAUCAAGAGUUUGGAGUUGGUUUGCCUUGGAAACCCUAAUUCAUCUGGGUAUUUUGUGUGACUUCUUCAACACGUUUCUUCACCAGUUGAUCAAAUAUUUCAAGUUAUACUUCAAAUUUCAUCAUCUUAUGCAUGUAUGAUCCUCCGUGAGUCUUAAAAGUCAAGAGAAUGUCAAGCUAGCAAGUUGGUUCAUGGUAGUUGACCAGAGGAAUUCAACUGAUCAAAAUUGGGGUUCCCUAGACCCUAUCUCCUAAACUUUUUGUCAUAUGAAAAUGAUUCCAAGACAAACGUUACUCUAAAUGACAUUACAAAAAACUUUCAUGUUAAGGUCUAGAGCUAGUUUUGCUUCGAAAAUCAUUUUUUAUGGUGAAAGAUUAUAGGUCAUUUUGUCUAAACCCUAAUUUGGAAGUCAACUCCCAAGACCAUAACUUGCUCAAUUUUUAUGAUAUAAAAGCUAUUCAAUUUUCACAAUCAAAUUCAAGAUGUCUACUUCAACUUAGAUGUUUGGAGGAAGAGAAAAUUCAACUUUUAAAUGCAUGUGAUAUGAGGAGAGAUUAUAGGUCAUUUUGGGCCAAUACCAUUGAACAAGUGAUUUUCCUCAACUUCUAAAAUGUAUAACUCCUUCAUACUAAAUCCAAAUGAGGUCAAAUUUGUAACCAAUUUUAAGGACUUUGAGAGAGUUACAACUUUUAUUAAGGAAAGUUUCUCAUUUGAAGUCCAUAGAAAAAGUUACCCAAGGUGGAAGAAGUGAACAUAUGGCUUGGUACUUAGAAUUUUUUUUGAUAUGUUUGAUUUUCCAAACUUCCACCUCAAAAUUCAUCAUUAUCCAAGUUUCAAAUGAAAAAGUGUUUAACAUAAAAGUUGUUCCUCUUGAUCUAACCUUUCUAAAAAAGUCCAACUUCAUCCCAUUUGGACAAAGUAUAAGUGACUUGCGCAUGGCUUAAAGUUGGAUGACCAUUUGGCAUAAUUGAACUCCCAUCUUCCAUACACAAAUGCAUGGCUUGUUAACAUGACUUCAGCAUUGCUUACACAUGAUUUUGGACCUAAGUGAAUCAUUACAUGGGCCUACCACACGCCCAUGCAUCCAUGCAAAGUGAAAUUGCUAUUUUUGAAAGUUUGAAACAAGUGUGCAAAUAACAAUGCUUUGGCUAUAAAUAGAAGCUCAAUCACUCAGAAUUGAGGACCCUUGCGCGCCAGCUUUGAAUCCCUAGCCCUAAACACCUUCAUUCAUAGGAUAACCUUGAGGAUUUCCAUUAGAAAUCGAGUCUGAAUCUCCACUGUUUUGAGGUUCAAAUCUCCAAGAGUCCUGCUUCUUUCUUGAUUCAUUUCCACUCCAUCAAGCAUCCAGAGCAAGGCUAAGCAUAAUUGAGAGCAAGAUCGUGGCCAUCUGAACCUGUAGUGAAGGUGAUUUUCUCAAUUUUUUAUCUCUUCGAUUCUCACACAAUUCUCCAUAAUUCUUCUUGAUUUUUGGUUGUCUGAAGUCUUACCAAUGUAGGCAAGAAGAUUGAGUUGCUUUGAGGACAAAUCGAAGUAACUCGAAUCAUGAUCCUCAAAAUUCAACUCCCUGUAUCUUUCAAUAUACUUGGACUUAGAUGAAAUUGAGGCCAAAUUCGAGCUCCUGAGCAUUUUUACUUUAAAUUCAUGUCCUCCUUUUUUAUUUUACUCAUGGUCGAAGGUGGUAUCUCAAACCAUAGGAUCAUCUUAUUUUGUUUUAAUCUCACACGUUGGUUUUGAUUACCGUCCCUGCAAUGCAUUGACUUAGGUCCAUCAUGGAACGCGCGUUGGGAUCCACUUGAUCUGCCACCUCAAUUAAUGAGGGAGAUCAAGUGGUCCACGUAUUUUAGCAUUUUCUGAUUUUUAGUUUAAUUGCUUUAUUUUCAUUAAUUCAUAUUAAUUUUAAUAUUGAUCCAAAUCUCAAUUAAUGAGGGAGAUCAAGUGGUCCACGUAUUUUAGCAUUUUCUGAUUUUUAGUUUAAUUGCUUUAUUUUCAUUAAUUCAUAUUAAUUUUAAUAUUGAUCCAAAAAAUAUGAGACUUUCACCACAAAAUUUCAAAUAAAUUCCUCUUUCAUUUUCUGAAUUAAAAUUGUUUUUUGGAUCAUUAUUAAAAAUUUUCAUGAUUUAAUUGUUUUUGUACAUAUUUAUAAUUGUUUAAAAAUACUUUUAAGUUUCCAAAAAUGAUGAAUUUUUUCUCCAAGGUCCUUUGACCUUGUUUGACCUAUGAUAAACCUCAUGGUCAUUUAUUUGGUGUUUUGAUGGGGUUUUAGGAUUUUGACCAACCAUUAUUUAAUUUAAUGCAUUUUAUAAUUGAUUUUAAUUGUUUAAUUGCAAAUAAGUUGUGUUGGGCUAUUUGUGUUGACUUGUUGAGUUUGACUAUUGUUGUUGGGUCUUAGUCAAAGUUGAUUUGACUUUGUUGAGUUAAAAUAAUUGGAUUUAGGGGAUUGAUGAAAUGUACAUUUCAUCUCCCAAAAUGAAUUAAUGAUAUUAAUUUGAUAAAAGUCAUCCUUUGACCAAUUUGUGUUGAUUUCGUUUCCCCUCCCUCUUCAUCUCAAUCCUAUUAUAUUCUCAUUCAUUUCUUUGACCUAUGAUAUCUCUAUAUCCUAAGGCUAGUGGAUUGUAAAAUCAACAUAAGUAUGUAUGAGAUUAGGUCCACCCAUUUUGCCACUUUCUUUUAAGUGUGGUAUGUUUUACGAGUAUGGUUCAUAAUAUCAUAUCUCUAACAUGCAUUAACACUAAAAUUUCUAUUGAUCGGCCUCAAAUAGUUAUGACUUCUACAUAAGUCCAAUUACGAUUGUUUAACAUAGCGCUAAAUUUUGACUCAUAAGCAUAGCAUUCUAGUAAGUGAGAUUGUAAGUCUCCCCCCUUUCAUGGUAUUAUGUAGAAACUUUGCCUUUUUUCCUUCCUUUGGAAGAUGUCUUGGUUCAAGGAUCUAUGCUUGUGAAUAGAGGGUUGAGUGUUCUCCAAAGAAUGACUUAAACAUUGAAAAGCAAAAGCAAUAUUAACUUCUAAUCAAAUAAGAUUCAACUAACAUUUAAUUUCAAGCACUUUACUUUUAUGCACUUUAAAUUCAAGUCUUUACUCAUUUGCCAUUAUUCAUACCAUUUAACUUGUUUAUUUUAAUGUCAUUUUCACUUUGCUCACUUGAGCUUUAUUUUGUGAUUAUAUUGUGAUUGUAUAUACUUGUUUGUGUAUUUUGUUUGGUUAUGCGGUCUUUUGACCUUAAUGUACAUAAUAACAACAAAAACUCUAAAAAAAGAUUUGUGUGGACUGUUGGUUUUGUUCUGAGACAUUGGACUUAGAAUUAGGCAACAUUCCAUAUGCAAAAGGACUUGGCCAAUGCCAACUUUUCUGAAACCAAGUGCCUGUGAAGUUAACUUUCAUCUGAAGCAAGUAUUGAGAUCCCACUUGAGUUCAUCUGCUACAUGGUCUUAUUAUAGAUGUUACUUUGAACCUAUGACUAAUGCCUAUCUCUGAGCCAUUCAAGAAGUAUGUCAUCUGGUGCAUGGGAGAUUAUGAAGAAGAUCAUGAAGUUGCUAAGCUUGGAUGUGGCUAUCUUUAUUUGAUGUCUUUCUCUUUAUCUUGCUAUUUGUGUAUUGAUAUUGCUUGAUUCUAAAGUCCAAGGGAAAUUUGGGUUUCUAUAUGACAUUCUUGUCUAUUGGAUUGCAGCCCAUUGGUCAAAUCUUUUUAACUCUUAACUUUUAAAUUUUUGUUUAGGAGUAGUUGUAACACCCCGAUGAAAUUAAGAUAAUUGUUUAAAUUAAGUUAAUAUUUUAUUUAUUAAUUUAAUUAAAUAAUUAGAAAAUUAUUGGAUUAUUAAUAUUAUUAUUGGGAUAAUAUUAUUGGGUUGGGGGGGAGGGGGAAAAAAAAAGGAGGGAAAAAUUGGCUUCCCCUACUUUUCCCCAAAUAAAACUGCUCGUUACCUGAAAACAGUUGUAAGGGUGAGUUCCCUCAAUCAAUAUAAUGAGUAUUAUAAAAAUAUCAUGUAUGUUAAGUGAUUCACACACUUCAUCACCUAAUCAAAACACACAUUCAGGAACAAAUAUUAAUUCAAAUCAUACUCAAAUAACAGCACAACAAUACCAACACAAACACACGUGAAUAUUGGAAUACAUCCAUUCAAUAUUACACGCUAUACAUAUUUAUGCAUGAGACUCCAUGCAUGCGGUACCGACUAUUGUGACAUAGUUCAACUCACCGUCCAAUCCGGCACGGCUACCAAGCUCACUAGUCCCUCAUUUGGACAUAGUGACUCUCACUAAUUCCUCACCAUGGGAUUAGCUACCACCCCAAAUGGCCAUGCUAUGCACGCUAUCACCUAGCAUGCAAACAUCAAAACAAAUCACAAUGAUUUACUCACUAAUUCCUCACCAUGGGAAUUACACACAUAAGCGCACAAUAUGCAUGCUAUCACUAGCAAUGCACAUCAACAACAUUUAAGAUAACACUGCUCACACUCUAAGCCAUAAAUAGUCUAUUAAAUGCAUAACAUUCACAUCAUUCAUGGUAUACCAUCACAUAUCAUCAACAAACGCAUAUCAUAUCAUGCACAUAAUAAAUCAUAGUAUAGCACACUCUACUAAUACCUAUACUAUUCAAACAAGGGAAUUGAUCCCUAAACAUCAUACCUCAGUAAGUACAUCCACUCAGCCUAAAAACCAAAAACUGCAUAACAUUGUUUCAGGAAAAUCACAAUCUGCCAUACGCGUAUUCCUAUGCCCUACGCGUAUUGCCCAACUGACCAAGUCCUACGCGUAAUGCCCACGCCCAUUACGCGUAUGCUAGCGUACCACUCCUCAUACGCGUACCAACAGAGACACUUUACGUUCAAACAUCAUCUCUUUCACUCUACGCGUAGGCCUCAUCCAUACGCGUACCAGCUCAUCUCAUACGCGUAUUGCUAGUGCCAUACGCGUCAUGACCAGAAACCAGAAUUUCCGAUCUGCGUGGCUUUCUCUGCUACGAGAUCUAUCCAAUUCAACUUCUACGUCCAAAUUUUACACGCAAUUCAUUAUAUCAUCUAACACGAAUCAGACACUUUUCGAUUUCACAAAUUGCCAACCUUUCUACUUAAUUCCUACGAAUUUUCAUCAUUAUCAUCCAAUUCGUUCAUCAUAUUUCACAGUUCAUCAAUAUCAUUUCAAUCGAGUCAAAUUCGCAGGUUCAUCACUCCAUUACAUGCUAUCCAUAAGACCAUCAAACGAUGAUAAACCCCCUUACCUGAGUAAAUCCGGCAAUUCCGUUAGCUUCAAGCUUUUCCUCUUCUCUUGCUCUGCCUCUUUUCCUUUCUCUUUCAAGCCGCUCUUUUCCUUUUUCACUUAGUCAAGAACGCUUCACCAUGAGGACUUUUUAUUAUUCAACUUAUAUACUGCAAUAAUAAAAANCAACUGUUUAUUUGAUUAAAUAAAGAGCAUGACUGUUAUUUUGGAACAUGGUGUGAAGUGAUCAUGUGACACCCUUAACUGCAUAAUUACUCUGAUGUUGUAUUUUGAUAUUUAAUUAAAUUAUUGGGGUAUUUUAGAAGGGUGUUACAGUAGUCUCUUCAUCUCCUCCCACUUCUUUAAUUUUAAAUCCUUCCCUCAUUUUAAAAUCUUCUUUGUUUGUGUUUUCUAAACUUAGACUUUAUUGCAAAUUAGAAACUUUGGCCUUAUGCCAUUGCAUUUUUAAACUCUUUUCUUAAUCAAACUUGUAAAUGAAUCUCACUAUAUUGACUUAAAAUUUCAAAAGACAAAAAGAACUAACACUCAUUCAAACCUUUUUAGACCUUUUGUGCCUUUGCUAACCUUAAAUUUUUGUUAAAAGCAAUGCACUCACUUUGAAAUUGUUACCACGAACUACGAGGUUUUGAUCCCUCAUUUUAUGUUGGUACGUAGGCACAAGUCCGAAGGUCUUGUCAAACACAAAUAUAAUUAAUGAAUUCUUUUCUCAUCCCUCCACUCUAUUUAUUGCAAACAUCAUUUUGUACAAACACACAUAUUCACACAAAAAAGGACUCCCUAUGAGUACCUAGGACACUUUGAAUGCUAAUACCUUCCCUCUGUGUAACCAACCCCCUUACCUGUAACCUCUGGCAUUUUAUUAGUUUUGAUUUGAAAACUUCUUAUCUUUGGGUUUUGUUCGUACUUUUCCCUUUUCCCUUGGAAACAAUAAAAGCGUGGUGGCGACUCUGGUUUUAUUGAAGUUAAGUUUAUCCAUAGAUUAAUGAUCAUGAAUUUAUCGCUACGCCCCCCCCCCCCUUCUUGUUUAUGGAGUCAUAUGUCCAAUAAGUGGAAUAAUAGUCUAACUCAUGUUUAAAUACUAAUCAUCUAGAGAGGAAGAUAACUUCAAACACUUAUUUUAACAAGAGGAUUUUCCUUAACGCACCUUCAUCGUUUAAUGGUGAUGGGUUUGUUAUAUGGAAAGUUGGAUUUAAAAUGUUCAUUAAAAUAUAUAAUAUUGUAUUUGUGGGAAACGAUAGUCAAUGGUCUGUUUAUUUUUGCUCACUAUGUUAACAGUGAAGUAGUAUAUAAACUUGGUUUCCUUUUGACUAAAAAAGACAAGACAAAUUUCAAAGAUAAAAAAGUUUUAGUUAUCACUUUGUAACACCUCGUAUAAUAUACAUCUAGAAAAUACAUUAUACACAAUGUUAAUUACUAGUGACACACCACAAGUGUCUAACGGCAUCACUAUAUAUACACAUGUCUAAAAGAAAAUAGAAUUAUGACACAUGUUAUACAUGGGUGCCUAAUUAAAAACAAAGAUCUAUGUACAAUAUUUAUAUUUCACAUAAUCCACAACGGAAGAUCACGAUAACGAAAGUCUUCGAAAUAUCAUCAUACAAAGUCAUAAUUAUACUUGUGUAAUUUACCACAAUAGAACAAUGACUUAAGCAUCUAAGGGAAUUUACACGUUGUAUGGAAAACACACAACACAAGUUCACAUAAACUCAAAGAAUCACUAUUCAGAAGCAAGAAACAUUGUUCCCCAACCGGACCUACGUUUAGGGAAAGGCUCGGCUCACACAUGUUCGUAUGAUUCGACUUUCUUGUGAAUUCAGGUUUUCCAUGGGACUCGAAUCCACUUCAAGAACUAUCACUCAUAUGGGACUUGAACCCACUUAGAUUAUCUUUUGCAGUAUGGGACUAGAACCCACUUAGGCGUCCACCCCUCCUCCAUGGACUCAAUCCAUAGUUGGGACUCAAACCCAUUGUGAGGCAUGAGCCUAAUCCCAAUUCUACUUUACAUAAGCAUCUCAAUUGGGAUGUGCAUGAUCAAGGGAAAUUUUUGAAUAUGUGAAUAGUUCUCAACAAUCACCACAUGAUUAUUCUUAUCAGACACUAUGCAAUUAUAUCACAAUCACCAUGGGUUGAUAUCAUAAUUACCAUAUGAUUUUAUCACAAUCACAUUAUAUUACAAUGUGUUUCCAUACAAGCUAGUUCAAUUUGCAAUUGGAUCAUCGUUAACCAUCCAUACCAUAUGGCACAUUUUAUAAAUGGAACGGUCCAUCUCUAGCAACUACUCGUUCAUGGAUGCGCAUCGAUGCACCUCUUACAUUCGAGCAUUGCAACCUAAGUUAUUUACCAUAACCUAAGUUAUCUUUUAUUAAUUCAUUCACCUAAUUACAAACCUAGGUCUAACCUCGCUUUUUAUCAUAUAUUUUAAUCAAUUAUUAUACAAUCAACACGAGUAAACAAUUUGUAGUAUAAUUCAUAAUACACAUGUGUUAACUCAUAUACAUACACAUCACAACAUGAUACAUGAAAUACACAUAAUAGUUCAUCACUAAUUAGGACUUUCGGAAUAAAGUCUCUUCACCAAUAUCCAAACAAUAACAUUUGGCAUUCAUAUAAUAUUUCCUCACAAAUUUUUCACUUAACUUAUUACAUAAACAUUAGGCGAAGCUUUCACGCAACUUGCUUUGACCUAAAUAAUACCACCUACACACCACAUAGUAAGUGUAUGUUUGAUCAUCCUAUGGUGGGGAUUACCCCGAUCGGACGGGGAAAUUUGAGUGGGAUAAGAACAUAGAAAUUCCAUUAUUUUAUAUCCCUUUGUGUUAUUUGACCGUGUCUCAUUCCGAAUUACGUCACAAACAAUGUCACGGAAAAAAACCACAAGACUAUCAGGCUAGCUAGGCGAGCCAACAUCUCACUGAGCGAGAGUGGGACAAAAAUGUAGUUGCAUGUCUCUACUUCACUCAGGGAGAGCUUCUAUCCAGUUAUUUUUUUGCUUGUCUUCUCGCUUUCAUUUUUGUUUUUAUUUCGGUUUGUGUAGUCUCCUUCAUUAUUGCAUUUCUUGUAAUCGAAUUUUGAUUUGAUUCGAUUUUAGCAUGCAUAAAACUUUGGUUAGAUUUGAUCUUGAUCUAAAAGUUCUUUGAUCAAUAUCAUAUGUUAGUGGAAUGAAAUAAUUUUGUGUUUUGGUUAAACUUUGAUAGAAAACUAAAAUCUCAAAAUGCUUUUGAAAUUUUGAGAUUUUGAGAUUUUACAAGAUUGAUUCGAAUCAUUCAGUUUUAUACUGAAUUUUUCAUCCUAAUCAAAUUGGACAGAAGUGAAACUCAAUAAUUUGAUUCUGAUCAAAUUUUACACUUGAUCCUGAUCAUUUUCCUGGGGACAAAUUCUAUUUGAUUUAAUUCGAAUCAAUAUUUGUACAUGAUUCAAAUCAAAGAGAUACUAUAUUGUAAAGCAAAUAAUAUUACACAUGUUCCAAGAGAGAGAAAAAACAUAUAUGAAAGCGUUUUGUUGAAGCUGGAAAGUACAAUAGUGACAAACGACAACCACUAUUUAAUAUAAGAGACACUUGAUAAACCAAGUCUCUUCAACAAAUUUGCAUUUCUCCUUCAUUAAUGUAUCACCUUGACAACAGGAAUGACAAUUUUUUCAUGGAUCACAUUAAAAAUUAAGAACGUACUUUGCCAGUAGUCCAUGUCAAAGCCAGCCUAGUGAAGAUAAUAGAAUGAUUAUACACUAUUAUAGUGGAAAUUAUACAUAAGAGGUCCCUCCCCCUAUUAAUUGUGGAUGUAAAUUACUUCACCAAAUGGAUCGACGUUGAGACCUUAGCAAAGAUCACAACCACCGUCAUUCCGAAACUCACAAUGUGAUACCUUCUCACCAAAGAGCUUUAUUAUCUCCUCCUUAGUGUAUGCCUCAAUUUUAAAAUGGGUUUCAAUAUAACACUUUUUAUUCAUGGGAAGAUCAACGCCUUUAGGGUCCACGUCUUAUUUUAGAAUUUCGUAAGGGUCUUCUUCAAAAACACUUCCUCAUCAGAUAAGUCAAUGCUCUUGUAUAUGUACGUCUUAAUACUCAUCAGAAGAUGAUGCUGCCUCCAAAACUUUGAGCAUAUAUUUAUGCAUAACGGGGGAAAUAAAAGUUCAAUGAGGUGAAGGAGAGAACCUCGGAGAAUACUCAUCGUUGUUGAAGGCCUCUGUCGUGAUUUCACAAAAACUUCGGUGAGUUGUACGGUUAAGGGGUGCAAAAAAUUAAUAUACUAACUUAAACCUUCUGACUAUAUAUAAUAUAGUAUAUAAUUAUAUAUAUUACUUAAUAUAUUAUAUUAUAUAUAUAUAUAUAAUAUAUAUAUAUAAUAUAUAUAUAUAUAUAAUAUAUAAUUAUAUAUAUAUAUAUAUAUAUUUAUAAUAUAUAUUUAAGGAUUAAUUACUAUGCAUUGUGAAUGUAAAAAUUACACCGUCGAUCUUCAUCAUCAUCUGUUUGCUUUACUUUAUAAUUUUUAAAAUAAAAGUCAAAUUUAUUUCAAUAUCCAACGUUUAAGAUUAACUGACUGUGUAAAAUCUUUUUACACUGUAAGUGUAUUUCAUUAAAUUAUAUUUAUAUUAUAUAUUAUAUAUAUUAUUAUAAUAUAUAUAUAUAUAUAUAUGGAUUAAUUACUAUGCACUGUCAGUGUAAAAAAAUUUACACCGUCGAUUCAUCACCAUCAUCCAUUUGCUUUACUUUAUAAAUAAAAGUCAAACUUAUUUCAAUAUCUUUCGACCUUGUUUGAAAGAGAUUAGUCCUUCGGGGAGAUCAUGGUUAUUAGAUGUUCUCAAUACACGAAUAAAUUGAAGAAGAAAAAUGUUAGCGUAUGAAUGUUAUUCUUUUUUUAUAUUCACACAAAUGUUUAAAAUCUUUUACAUAGGCCUAACUCAAAGGAUCCUUAUAUGAGAGAGAUAUCAUCAAAUGGUUUAGAAUUCCAAAUUCAAGGUCAUUAAAGGUAAGGUCGAACCACAUUAUAGAGAACGAGCAUUCGUGUAGAGGUAGUCCAUACAUUACAUAUUGGCUACAUUGUCGCUUACCAUUUUUGGUGUGGAUUAGUUGACAUUCUGAAGACGGGCCAACAUCUCAGUGAGCAAGAUCUAUUAUAUCUUCAUUUGUGUACUAGGACAGAGUCCUCAAGAUUUCUUCGUCUACCUAGAAAUAUUAACCACCAUCCUCGAGAAGAUCAAGAGUCAACUACAUCUUUCUCCCCAUGUUUGUUUCACUGUCAAUAAAUACAAAAUGCCUAACGUGAGUAUUACACCUUGUUAUUCUUCUAACCACUUAUUAAUCUCACCCUCAGUAACCUAGUGAAUGAACAAAUGUCAUAUACACCUAGUAACACUUUGAUUUCCUCGUUCCUCCCUAAGAUUCCCCAAAAAUGUGAGAGCAGUCAUCGGAAUUUCACCAAAGGUAAACACAACACCAACAUUCCUCUACUAUAUCUUAGUAGGGACAGGUUGUCUACUUUCUACAUUAAUCACUCCUAGGUUCGUCGGCUAUGGUUCUAUCACUUCUAGAUUAAUCACCUCUACAUUAGUUCAAGAUGAUGCAUCACUAAUCUCUACGUUGCUCCUAAGAUUGAUAAAGGGAUUCUAUAGUUCUAAGUUUUCUAAAUGGACCAUUAGUGAGAGACUAACCAAAAUCAAAGAACAAAAAGAUAUAAGAAAAUAUGUACAUUUUGCUUUAGUGUAAGUUCUUAAGAUUUAAGAGGGAAGCAAUUUGAUUCAAAUCAAAAGAUUCGGACCCUAAGAAACUUCAACAACAAUGGCAAAAAUCACAAUAAAAAGAAGAGAGAAGUCAUAUAUUGAAGAGUAAAUGCAGUCUAAAAAAUGAAUUUAAAUCCUAAAUUCCCAAAUAAUAAACAUUGAAAGCACCAACAUCAACCGUCUUGAUUCAACAACACAUACCAUCAUCCAAAUUUAUAUAUCCCUCGUUUAUAAAACAUACAUUCAUUCAAAUUUAAGAAAAUGCUCAAAUAUCAAAUUUCACAUCCAAAUCUCAAACAAGGUUGGGGGUAACAUUUCCCAAAUCCCUUCCUCCUGCAGAAAGAAAGUUAUAGGCAGAGGGGACUUCAUUAUGCAUAUCACUUUACAAGGAUUUGGACAUUGUUAAUUGCUAAGAAAAGCACAACGAUGACUACAUGUGUUCCAAGUUUUACUCAAAUAAAUGACACUUAAUCAUGUCUUGUUCAUUUCAAACAUAUUCCUUUUUAUUCUGCAACAUCAAAGUUAAUUAAGUCUAAUUCAUUUCCGCAAAACUCUUAGACCCGAAUUGGGCAGUAGAAAAAACGGUAAUUGUGACAAAUCUUUUUUCAAUUCAAAUCUGUACAUAGAAUGCUAAACCAUGAUCAUGCACAAAGAUGUCGUAAGACUUUGAAUUUUGCCCACAUAAUUCAAAACAAACAGGACCAAUCUACAUAAAACCGUGGAAUUUAUAACAUCAAAUUUGCAAACACUAGGUGGAAAUUACUACAAAUCUUCUAUUAAAUUAUCCUUCAUUCAAAUAAUUAAAGCAAUGAGAAGCAAUUUAACAAGACGAAUAUUUGCCCCACUAUGAAGUUAUAAUACUGCAAGUUCUCCUAUAACCAAUAACAGAGAUUAACAAAUUAAUACACAAGGAUUCAUUUGAUUUAAAAAAAGUUACACGCUAAUUCAGACCUAAUGCUAGCAUAGAUAAAUCUAUAAUAACCACUACAAAUCUCAAGCACUUGUAAACUUAGUGACAGCUUUCGUCCCUUCAGAAACAGCAUGCUUAGCCAAUUCUCCAGGCAGAACAAGCCUGACCGCAGUCUGAAUUUCCCUCGAUGUGAUUGUUGGCUUCUUGUUGUACCUUGCAAGUCUGGAAGAUUCAGCAGCAAGCUUCUCGAAGAUGUCGUUGAUGAAGCUGUUCAUGAUUCCCAUGGCCUUGCUUGAGAUACCGAUGUCAGGGUGAACCUGCUUCAGAACUUUGAAGAUAUAGAUCUUGUAUGUCUCCACAUUCUUCUUGUUUCUCUUCUUCUUCUUGUCUCCGGCGGCGGCACCAGCUUCCUUGGGAAGUUUCUUUCCAGCCUUGGGUUUCUUCUCGGCCGGAGACUUCUCGGCCACCGUAGACUUCUUCUCUUCGACAGGUUUCUUCUCAGCGGGCUUCUUCUCUCCCUUUGGCGCCAUUAGAGAAUUGAGAAUUUGAAACUAAAAUAAAAAUAGGGUUUCGAAUUGGGAAUUGGAAAUCAAAUGUGUUAUGAAUAGUGUUGUUGCGGUGAUUUAUAUAUAUAAGAAGGUUGUCGCGUUGCUAUUGGCCAAUGUGGUUAUUUCCGGAUCGUUGACGUGGAACUCUUUUAGCCGUUACACUCAUUUUUAUAAGGACAUGAUAGUCGACGGUCACUAUUGGCUUUAACUCAGCGAUGAUGAGGGUGCUGUGGGUGACUAGGAUGACGUUGAUACAUGCUUAUUAGAUUGCUAAAAUAAAAUAUACUCCGCAUUUAAAGAUAUUUUUAAAAAAAUCAUCUACACAUAUUUAUACAUUUUUAACAUAAGUUAAAUUAAUUUUUUAUUUUUAUUUUUAAACUCUUUUUUUAAAAAAAAAAUAUUUUAUAUCUAUCUAAAUACAUUUAAAAACAAAAUUUUCAUUUUCAUUAGUACAUCGAAGGAAUGAAGAUCACAAACAUAAUUCUUUUAGAGCAUUUAUCCAUAGAAAUAGUUUUACUUCAGUGAAACCUAAGAAUAAGAUAAAUCUGACACAUAAUCAAAGCUUCAAAACACUUAGGAUUGUCAGAUUUAUAUUUGUAAGGAUCAUUCAACAUAUGUCCAGUUAAACAACUAUAGGGAGUAUAAGGUUUUAGGCCUCUAAAAAUCUUAUAACUUUACUAUAAAAGACAAACGAAAGCUUUGCAUUUAGGUACAUACUAGUUUAAUCAUAAAUAUCUCUCACUUUCGAUUGUCACUCACUUGUCAUCGUAGUAUUUGCAGGUACCCCCUUCCUUCAUUGUCUCUGCUCAGGAGCAUCAAGACACUAAAUCAACUACUUGAGUUCAUAAUUAGAUGUCAAUUCACCGCUUCGCUCAUGAACCAAAUAUGUCUUUUCAAGAAUAAUUGGUGUCGUCUAUGGAACUCGACUUUCGAUGUUUCCACAAUACUCGACAACAAGAUUCAUUGGUGAACAAAGGAAGAAAGAUCGCAACAACGUCAGUGACAAGACCACUCCAUUUUCUAUCAAGUGAGAUCAUCAAAACUGCUCCAAACUCACAUACGAACAUACAAUAUUUCAGUCAUCUCAAGGAGCAUCAAUUCACUUACCUCUACCGCUAGCGGUUUCAACAUUUCCUUCUUUAGUCGAAGGCAUAAUGUUGUUGGUGAGAUUGUUAUCAAUUGAAUGAAUUCAACAAUUACCCCUAAAUAUAUUAGUAAGCGACAAUACUCUGCAUUAUCGACCCCUUUGAGCAAUAUAAUGAAAGGCUUUAAUGGAUUGAAGUGUCAGUCUCAACAAGCAAAUCCCCAUGAAGGACCGGAUCGGGUUUGAUAAGAGUCAAUGACGAAACACUUACAUUCAACGAGAAGGAUCUAGAGGAAUCAUCAUGUCCUCUUGACCCUAGAUCCCACUCCCUAAACCCAAGGAACCUUCAUCGUCUAGUCCCAAAGACCAUAAUCUUUGUCACAACCGGCACCACGGGAAUUUUUCACCAACUUCCUUUUUAUAAGAAAUUGGGUAAGGCGAGGAUACUCCUAAAAGGGAAUUUUCCCCCUUAGAACAAAAAUACCCCUUUAUCUCUUGUCUUUAUUAUAUAUUAUUGGUUUUCCAUCUAUCUUUUUAUUUUGUUGCAUAAUUACUUAUUUGUUUCUCCAAAAUAUUACCAAACUCUAUUUUUCCAAAUGAUUUAGUUUUCAACCAAUAUUUUCUAAACCUCCAUAUCUCCCCCUCCCCCUUCUUGUUUAUGAAGUCAUGUGUUCAACAAGUGGAAUCAUAGUCUAACUCAUGUUCAAAGACUAAUCAUCUCUAGAGGAAGAUGACUUCAAACACUUCUUAUAACAAGAUGAAUUUCCUUAACACACCUUCAUCGUUUAAUGGUAAUAUGUUUGUUAUAUGAAAAGUUAUAUUUAAAAUGUUCAUUGAAAGCUAUAAUAAUAAAUUGUGGAAAAUGAUAGUCAAUGGUCCGUUUAUUCCUACUCACUAUGUUAACGGUGAAGUAGUAUAUAAACGUGGGUUCCUUUUGACCAAAGAAAACAAGACAAAGUUCAAACUUAAUUUUAAAGAUAAAAACUUUUUUGUUAUGACUUUAAGUGAAAAUCAAUUUCUUUAUGUCCUUAAAUGUAAAUCCGCAAAGGAAGUGUGGGACACUCUUGAAAAGAUAUACAGAGUGUCUCUAAGUAUCGGACAAGAGAUAAUUAACACAUGAGUCUAAUAAGUUGAAUCACUAGAUUAAUAUGAAGAUUUACUUCAUAUAUGGUGUUCAACCACUGGAAAUAUUGGAAGACAUGAUAGAACUUUUGUAGCUAACAAAUAUCUAAUAAUUAAUAAUUGAAAUCAUAAAUUUGAUCCAAUCCUUAAAUCAAGAAUAGAGAUGUUUAUGAUUUUCAGGAAAAAUCUAGAAAGGGAGAGAUCUUUGAAAAGCUUAACAAAUUGAUACAAGUAUUAAAGGAUGAAAGAAUGAGCUCAUAAAUCCUAGAAAAUUCAUUGAAGAAAAAUUAUUUUUGAAGAAAAAGAAGAAAAAGAAGAAUAGUAAACUUCAAUAGUUUUAUUUGAAAGAACAAUAUCAAUUGACGAACGAUCCUCAGAAAUUUCAUUGUCUAGUAAUGAAACAACUUCAAUAAGGACGGUGUUUCGCCAAAUCUCAGUAUGGUGCCCAUUUGUUGAGUCAACAUGUGGAUCAUUUCAUAAUUAUUUUCGUUCAUUUGUUGUCUUAUGACUGCGACAGAACUUGACGUGAAAGUUGGGAUUGACUGAGAUGACAAUCCAAAACCUGGGGGUCGACCGAGUUGGCUUGCCAAAGGUCCUAACCCCUGGUUUCGUGGGAAUGGCGAUGACGAUGUUUCGCCAAAUGUCGAACCGAAAUUAUGCAUACUUGCCAUAAACUCGGUUGGCAUUCCCAACAUUCUGUGCAUGGGGACUGUGAAACUGGGCAUAUAUUGCCCAGAAGUUUCCAUCGUUGUUGGCGUCAGCGUUUGAGGCUGACGCAGUGUUAGAAUCGGCCCACUAUACACAGUCAAAACCGCAAGUAUAGCGCUGGAACCAACAUCGGUUGUUUGUGACGCAAUUGUGUCUUCCGCCAAAGACAUUUCUUCGUGUGGUCGUGGUGAGAUCAUCUUACCACUACGUAGUUUCAUAUACUGAACAUUUCGGGUCUCACCAGGUGUGCCAAUUUGUUUCUCGCGACAAUCUCUAGCUUUUCUAUUUAAGAUUUACUUGCAUGACCGGCUACAAAGUCCUAGACUUAUAUGUGUUGAGUGUAUGACUAUUUCGUUGAUAAAGUGUUUAGAAUACUUUUGGGUAGUAAGUGCAAUAUUUUGCAAAUUAGAAAUGGAAUAAAAGGCAAAAUACUGAUGUAAAUGAACAAAGCAAAUAAAAGUAAUUUGGCAAGUUAAAUGACUUGAAGAUAAAAAUGGAAGCAAAAGUACAUUUUGUAGGAAGAUAACUUUUUUCUCUCAAACACUUCAUACUUCAAGUGUAUUCCUACUGCAAUGUUAAAAAUAUCUCCCUCAUAAAUGAAAAUUACAUCUACUUAAAUAUUAGCAAAAAAUAAUUGUUGGGAGAUUACGACCCAUUUAUGAGAUGACAUGUGUCGGGCAUAUCUCUCACGUUUGCUGGUAACUUCUCACGUUCAGCUUCCCACGAUUAAUCCCUACCAUAGUAAGCGGACCUUUUCGACUUUGACAGACUUCCCCUUUCGUCAAUCCAGCGCUCUUGGCUCUCCGCCUCGUCAAUCCAGCUUUCGAGUGUCCUUUGGUCGACCCUAUUUUAUACCUCUUGGGUUGAAAUUUGCCAGCUAAUAUAAUGUUAUUCUUGUAUUCACACCAAUGUUUGAAAACUUUCACAUAAACUAACUCUUUGGGUCCAUGUGAGGGAGAAAUCCUAAAUGAUAUAGAGUUCCAAAUUCAAAGUCAUUAAAUGGAAGGACAAAUCACAUUCUAGAGAACAAACAUUUGUAUAGAGGUAGUCCAUACAUUCCAUAUCGGUUAUAUUAUCGCUUACCAUUUUUUGUGUGGAUUACUUCCCAAUUUGAAAACGGACCAACAUCUCUGUGAAAAAAGAUCCAUACCAAGACGAGUUACGGAGUUUUCUUCGUCUACCUAUAGAUAUUGAUCACCAUCAUCGAUAAGAUCAAUAGUCAAUGCUUUCUCCCCGUGUUCGUUUCGUUGUCAAUGGAUAUAAACUACCUAAUGUGAGUAUUAGGUCUUGAUAGUUCCUCUAAUCACCUAUUAAUCUCACCCUGGGUAACCUCGUAAUGGAACAGACGCCUUAUACACAUAGCAACAUUUUGAUUCACUUUCUAGGUUAGUCACUCUUAGGUUUGUCGCCUCAGGCUCUUCUGUGACUUCUGGUUAAUCACCUCCACCUCAGUUUAAGAUGAUGUAUCACUAAUCGCUACUAAAAUAAAUGAAAGGAUUACGUGUUCUGAGAUUUCUAAAUUGGCCAUUAAGUUGGACAUUAGUGGGAGACUAACGAAAAUCAAAGAAUAGCGAGAUAAGAAAACAACUACCUUAAUUUGAUUGUAUCGUAUCUUUCAAUUAUAAUUUGAUUGUAUCAAAACAUCCACAAUUAUCGAAACAUAAUUCUAAAAUCCAUCAAAAUUUGGAUCAAAAUUAAUGCUCUGGUAUCAAAUUUCGCAUACAAAUCUCAAACAACAUGGUCGGAUACGUUUUACCAAACCCAAUGCUCUUGCAGAAGUGAAGUUACAGGCAUAGAGGGGACUUCAUAAACAAUAUGACCAGUAUGGUUGAAAUUUAGAUACCCGGGGAAUUUAUAAACAACAAAUUUGUAAACAAAUAGACUAGGGUGAAAAUUUCAACACCAUUUAAGCUCUUUAAUUCAAAAAAUUUAAGACGAACAUACCCCAUUAUAAACUUAUAAUACUGAAAAAUCAUACAUAACCAAAAACAAGAGGAUUGAUUUGAUUUUAAAAGAAAGUUACACACUAAUUCAGACCUAAUUCUAGCACUUAUACAAAAUUCAAGCACUUGUAAACUUAGUGACAGCUUUCGUCCCUUCAGAAACAGCAUGCUUAGCCAAUUCUCCAGGCAGAACAAGCCUGACCGCAGUCUGAAUUUCCCUCGAUGUGAUUGUUGGCUUCUUGUUGCUCUGUUGUACCUUGCAAGUCUGGAAGAUUUUCUCGAAGAUGUCGUUGAUGAAGCUGUUCAUGAUUCCCAUGGCCUUGCUUGAGAUACCGAUGUCAGGGUGAACCUGCUUCAGAACUUUGAAGAUGUAGAUCUUGUAUGUCUCCACGCUCUUCUUGUUUCUCUUCUUCUUCUUGUCUCCGGCGGCGGCACCGGCUUCCUUGGGAAGCUUCUUUCCGGCUUUGGGUUUCUUCUCGGCAGGAGACUUCUCGGCCACCGUAGACUUCUUCUCUUCAACAGGUUUCUUCUCAGCGGGCUUCUUCUCUCCCUUUGGCGCCAUUGAGAAUUGAGAAUUUGGAACUUUGAAGAAAAAUUAGGGUUUCGGAUUGGAUAUUAGAAUUGGAAAUCAA
Molecule: long non-coding RNA, 20373 nt
Filed under: Lathyrus oleraceus (garden pea)
Lineage: Eukaryota; Viridiplantae; Streptophyta; Magnoliopsida; Fabales; Fabaceae
Description: Pisum sativum (pea) long non-coding RNA (PSAT_LNC011366)
Source: RNAcentral